This 217-nucleotide ribosomal RNA is filed under the name Thalassiosira antarctica. Its description in RNAcentral is "partial Bacterial small subunit ribosomal RNA". It matches the Rfam family "Bacterial small subunit ribosomal RNA", at positions 1183 to 1399 of the family's 1533-position model. The record is from RNAcentral. Lineage: Eukaryota; Bacillariophyta; Thalassiosirophyceae; Thalassiosirales; Thalassiosiraceae.
CGUCAAGUCAUCAUGGCCCUUACGGCCUGGGCUACACACGUGCUACAAUGGUGCGUACAGAGGGCUGCAAACCCGCGAGGGGGAGCUAAUCUCACAAAACGCAUCGUAGUCCGGAUCGGAGUCUGCAACUCGACUCCGUGAAGUCGGAAUCGCUAGUAAUCGCAGAUCAGAAUGCUGCGGUGAAUACGUUCCCGGGCCUUGUACACACCGCCCGUCA